CACAGAUUUUCAUGAUGGAACAGCCGAUUUUCAUCUGUUUCACUCCUGUAGGGAGGUUGGUGUGGGAGGAACUGACUUCUCAAACUGAACAGCCAAAUAGUGAAGACUCUGGUUUUCCCUUUGAGAAGAUGCAGCUGGUUGGGAACUGGGGUUCGUUUCAUUUCCAUACCUGGAUAAUCCGUUAUGGACGAGUGCAGCAAAACGAAGAGGACAUGCAUCACCUGUGCAUUGUGAGGGGAGUGGAGAAACAGCUGUGGUGGAGCAGAGUCAUUCAGGA
Long non-coding RNA from Oncorhynchus keta (chum salmon), 277 nucleotides. RefSeq lists it as uncharacterized. The record is from RefSeq and is a predicted model, not a curated record. The transcript is spliced from 3 exons. Lineage: Eukaryota; Metazoa; Chordata; Actinopteri; Salmoniformes; Salmonidae.